GCGGCGCCGGGAAGUCGAGGAGUGUAUGCGGCGCCGACUUCAUGAAGAGCGUCCCCCUCCCUCCCUGCCUCCUUACUCACGGUGCAGAGUGCAGCACUGUCCUUCCUGUUGCUGCCGGGACGGCGCCUGUCACACUUAACACAGGCAGUGCCAGAAGACCCAGUGCAGCAGCAGCAGCGGCGGAACAUGGAGGAGGGCUGAAGACAGUGCAGCAGCAGUGGCGGAACAUAGAGGAGGGGGGAGAGCGGAAGACAGUGCGGCAGCAGCAUAACGCCAGAUCUGUCUACUGUGACCUGGGCCCCUGUGUGUAUGUCACCAUGUUCCCCCUAAGACAGUGACAGCUCAACGGCCAUUUCAGUGGAGUGGUGGGACACAGGACUGAUCUGGAAGGAGACCCCUAGGCACAUAAAGAUGGGAUCCAGACCCAGCCCACAGUCAAGAGCUUUGCAGGUGGUAAGCAGAAACCACACUAUCAGCUCCGAGUCCUGUCCCGCACAAUCACUGAUAGAGACCCACGUGUGACAGACUACUGCCUCUUCCGGAAGAAGUGAGGAGGCACUGCACAUAUCUGGAGAGGGAAAGGAGAGAGAGAGAGAGAAAAAGAGAGAGAAAGAGAGAGAGAGAGAAGAGAAAGAGAGAAAGGAGCAGAAGAGAAGAGAGACACGAAACUAACCUGCUGCUGCUGCUGGAGCCGGCGGAGGAGGACAGCCGCACAAGCCACCGCUGCUGCCUGUCAGGUGAUCGGGAGCCGGGAGGAC
Molecule: long non-coding RNA, 758 nt
Organism: Pseudophryne corroboree (corroboree frog)
Lineage: Eukaryota; Metazoa; Chordata; Amphibia; Anura; Myobatrachidae
Exons: 3
Source: RefSeq, a predicted model, not a curated record